AAGUCGUAACAAGGUUUCCGUAGGUGAACCUGCGGAAGGAUCAUUAAAGAUGCGCGCAAGCGUUUUUUGAUACACACCUGUGCACCGUGGUCUUCGGACCUACAAACAUAGAGUUAUGAACGUAUAAUAGUAAUCAAUAAAA
This 142-nucleotide unclassified non-coding RNA is filed under the name plant metagenome. Its description in RNAcentral is "partial contains small subunit ribosomal RNA and internal transcribed spacer 1". The stretch from base 1 to 46 matches the Rfam family "Eukaryotic small subunit ribosomal RNA", at positions 1786 to 1831 of the family's 1831-position model. The record is from RNAcentral.